Molecule: ribosomal RNA, 462 nt
Filed under: uncultured bacterium
Lineage: Bacteria
Description: partial 16S ribosomal RNA
Rfam family: Bacterial small subunit ribosomal RNA
Source: RNAcentral
GAUAAACGCUGGCGGCGUGCUUAACACAUGCAAGUCGAACGAAGUUUUUCCUUCGGGAGACACUUAGUGGCGGACGGGUGAGUAACGCGUGGGUAACCUGCCCUGUACAGGGGGACAACAGCUGGAAACGGCUGCUAAUACCGCAUAAGCCCUUAGCACUGCAUGGUGCAUAGGGAAACGGAGCAAUCCGGUACAGGAUGGACCCGCGUCUGAUUAGCCAGUUGGCAGGGUAACGGCCUACCAAAGCGACGAUCAGUAGCCGAUCUGAGAGGAUGUACGGCCACAUUGGGACUGAGACACGGCCCAGACUCCUACGGGAGGCAGCAGUGGGGAAUAUUGCACAAUGGAGGAAACUCUGAUGCAGCGACGCCGCGUGAGUGAAGAAGUAUUUCGGUAUGUAAAGCUCUAUCAGCAGGGAAGAAAAUGACGGUACCUGACGAAGAAGCACCGGCUAAAUACGUG